This 1011-nucleotide long non-coding RNA is filed under the name Bos grunniens (domestic yak). RNAcentral describes it as "lncRNA (ENSBGRG00000025669.1)". The record is from RNAcentral. Lineage: Eukaryota; Metazoa; Chordata; Mammalia; Artiodactyla; Bovidae.
AUGCGACCCGCCCCGCGCGCCGGCACCCUAAAGGGCCUCCUUCCGGAAACCCCCAAGGCGCCCGAGAGGCUCCAGGCCAAGGCGCAGGGACCCUGGGCCGCCUGGUGCUGCAGGGGGGAUACUGCAGGCCGGGGAGGGCGGGGGCGGAGCGCCGGCCAGCCCGGCUCCGCCCGCUCUGGCAGGCGGAGGUGCCACAUCCACAGCCUCCCUCUCUGUCCUCCUGUCUCCGGGCCGGGAUGCGCCGCGCCCUGCCCGCCCGGAUUGCGCGCGGGCCGGCGGCUCUCCGGGCCACUCCCCUCCCCGCGCCCCAGAUCACCCGGGAGUCCGGGGCCCGCUGCGCAAAGCCGCUGCGCAGGCAGAGCCUGCCCUUCGGGUGGAGGCCCAGCGCGCCCCCUCCGCGCGCUCCCCGCAACCUGGGACCCGAGCCGCUCACGCCCGCCUCGCCCCGCCUCGCCCCGCCCCGCCCCGCCGCGGCCCGGGGCGCCCGGCCCCUGCCCAAGCUCCGGCCCGGGCCCCGCGGCCCCCCGCACGGAUACCUGGCGGCACUUCCAAGGCCAGCCCGGGGACACGCGGCGUCCAAGGAUCAGCUGCGUCGACGGCGACGCGUCACAGAGCUUAAGAUGCGCCUGCUGCCCCGCCCCCCGCGGACGCCCUUGCCGCCCAUUGGCCGGCGGCGGAGGACUGGCCACCAAUCGCCGUGGGCCCGCCCCCCGCCCCGGCGCCGCGCAUCCCGUACUCAGACGGGGCACUGGUUCGAGCCGUUCUCCUGCGCCUUCCGCGCCCCGCAAUUCCGGGCAGCGGUCGGGGUCGGUACCUGAGUUCAGGCGCCUGCCUGGAUCCGUGCCUUUUCAUCGAUUCCCCUCACCGCCCUCUCUUUGCUGGCGAGAAAACAAGGUCCGAAGGGGUGAAACGCGGGACUGGACCUCCAGACCUGCGUUCUUCCCGGGGUUGCGCUUCCAGGCCUUUGCCUCGCGGAGCCUUCCGUGUGUGCUGGCCGCCCGCCUGUACUAG